RNAcentral lists this non-coding RNA (33 nucleotides) under Trypanosoma brucei brucei. Lineage: Eukaryota; Euglenozoa; Kinetoplastea; Trypanosomatida; Trypanosomatidae. The record is from RNAcentral.
AAAUAAACGGUCAUUUGCAUCGUGUAUAGAGUA